RNAcentral lists this ribosomal RNA (253 nucleotides) under uncultured bacterium. Its description in RNAcentral is "partial 16S ribosomal RNA". It matches the Rfam family "Bacterial small subunit ribosomal RNA", at positions 524 to 776 of the family's 1533-position model. The record is from RNAcentral.
UACAGAGGGUGCGAGCGUUGUCCGGAAUCACUGGGCGUAAAGGGCGCGUAGGCGGCUUGAUAAGCGUGCGGUGAAAGCCCGGGGCUCAACCCCGGGUCGGCCGUGCGAACUGUCGAGCUGGAGCACUGUAGAGGCAGGUGGAAUUCCGGGUGUAGCGGUGGAAUGCGUAGAGAUCCGGAAGAACACCAGUGGCGAAAGCGCUCUACUGGGCCAUAACUGACACUGAGGGACGAAAGCUAGGGGAGCGAAAGGG